CCCUAUAUUCGGAGUUGAGGGAACAUCCAAGGAAAUUUUUUAAUUACUUUCGGAUGAGUACUACGACCUUCGACGAAUUGAAUGUAAAACUAGAAUUCAAGUUUAUCCAUAAAAAUGUAGUUAGGCUAUCUAUAUCGGCGACCGAACGACUGUGUGUAGCUCUCAGGUAAGUUAAUAAUGUAUAUUACUGAUAGUUAUUGAAUAUUAUUUAUUGCGAUACCUAAUAUUACAUUUUUAACUACAUUAUGGCAACUGAGUGUAGGCAGGAAUGAUCAUAUACUGGUCAGGUGGUUGGCUUGAAGCAGGUGUAUUUGAUUGUGGCGACGAUAUAAUGUCGUAUGCCCCAGGGGAAAUCGUUGGUAUUGAAGUAAAUCCACUUGAUGCAGAUGACGUAGGUUGUUGACAAUAAUAAAUAUUAUUUGGAGGAUAGGGUUCCUGUGUAAUUAUUGCUGCAGGUUGUACUGGGAUUUUUUUUUUAAUUUUAACCAAUAAAUUCAAUACUUCAAUUCGAAAUUGCAGCUUUUGAUCCUGAUUGAAGUUCCGAAAAGUCGGUAAUAAUGAGUCAAAAAGUAUUUGUGUUCAUCACCUAUAGGCUCUUCAGUUUUUUUAAAAAAUUUAACCAGACAUUCUUCUAAUGCAUUUCUUUUUGGAGCCCUUUUUCUCUCAAAAAGUGGUUUCACUCGUUCAGCUUGGACUUUCCCAUCAUCGAUUUCUUUAUCCGAAUGGUCAUCAUCUUCUUGGUUACUUGGCAAGAUAGUAAAAUAAAUUAGCAUACAAUAUGGUGUACCUAUCUAAAUAAACUAAAUACAUGUACAUACCUGCUGUUUUCUUUUCUUUGUCAUCUAAAUCCUUGAAAUUGGGAAUAAUAGCAGCAGCAAUAUCCACCCAAGAUUUUUCCCUAGCGUCUCUGUUUUUAUAAUUUUCAUCGGAAACGUCCCAAAUAUUUUUUUUUCCUCAAUAGUACUAAUCAUCAAUUCUGUGUCGACGAAAUCCAUUGAAUUGAGGGUUGAACAGUUAAAGGAUGGUCCGGCAAGAAUAAUCACAUUAUUAAACCACGAAUACCACGAUACAAAAUACAAAUACACGGAAUGUAAACUGAAGAAAAAAAAUGGAAUUUAGGCAACAGCACGGCUACUACAAAUGCCCCCACUUCCAGCGCGCGUCGUCGCAUGUGAAUGGGUACACUUGCCACCAUGCCCUUACGCCUGGCGUACCUACGUCAGGCGUACGGGCCAGGCGUGGAGUCCGCGCCGUAAAUUUCACGCUGGAGUACACGGGCGCUCGAAUCGCCUGCAUCUGAAACCUACCAAUAGAGUCAAAAUAGAGAGUUUAAGUGCACCAAAUCCUACGUGCCUAAGGAUGCCGCGCCUGUGCAUUUCAUUCAUUUUCACGUUUCGCUUGAAAUUCGGGCUACGGGUGUACGUUAUUCUGCGUUGCUCCACGGGACUAAUUUACUGCACGUACGUAUACGCGGAACGUCCCGAGCAUUUACGAUUCGACUCGAUUUCAGUGCAGAUUAGGUUUUAGGUUAUGUUAUGAUGGGGAUCAUCCCAAACAAAAACAAAGGUGCACAAGUUUUGUAGUUUUAUUAUAUUAGUUUUGGGUUUUGGUUGCUUAGUUAAGUUAAUUUUGUUUGAUUAGUUAUAGUUUGAUUAUUUGUUCUUGCUGCUAAUGACUUAGAUCCUCUGAUAACGUAACCCUCAAUAGUUUCCAGUAAGGGUAAGUUUAGUUUUUAUGUCUCAUGACUUUUCGGGUUUUCAGUUAAGCUGUUUAUGCUCAAUAUAAUAUGUUUCAAUUAAGCUGUUUAUGCUUUCAUCUUAGUUGCCUAGAAGUUGAUGAAGAAAUCUAGUUUAUUUAUCCCAUCCAAUGUAAGAUAUAGCUAUUUUAUUUAAUUUCCUAAAUUUCUAUUACUAAAAAACAAUAGUAAAUGAAAGACAAAGUAAUAAAAAUUAUCCCGCCUGGCACUUGACAAAUGACAAGUCGCUGUCAAUUCUAUCACGUCACGUCAACACGCAGAAAAUAUUUCGCUUAAACUCAUUUCGCAGGACACCUAACGUUAUACUCGUACGUGCGUUAACCUCGUUUAACGUGCGUAAAUCUUGGCUACGUCGUCGCUGCACUUAAACUCUCUAAUGCCAACCGAGGUUCUGGCGUAGCACGUAGGGCGCGUCGUACGCCUCAUGUGAAACGGCACUAAUAGAUAAUGAGGCCUCCUCUCUAGAAAGUCAGUUUAAAUAUAAAUAUAGGCUUACGACUUUUAAAACCAAUUGAAUAGUAGGAAAAAAAUUCAGUAAAAAUAAAUAUUUUUGGUCAUCAAGUGUUUUAAUUCACAUAUAAAUACAUAAUGUAAAAUAGUCAAAACGCUUCAGUAUGUACAGGGUGGCCAUUUUAUUAGAGGACCUUUUUCUCAGAAUCUACAGAGUGUGCAAAAAAAAUUUCUUACAGAAGUGUUUUCGUUUUAAGCGAAUUUUUAAAUUAUUUGAGUUUUAUCAAUACAAGGUAUUUAAAAAGUGCUACACCGACUUUAACACCAAAUUUUAAAUGAGACACUACGAAUAUUUUUAUACUUUUGGGUUUCUUGAGAGAAAUAAAGGUAACUUUCAUAAGAACUACCUAUCCGAAUUUUGUGUAGUUUAGACAGAAAUUAAGGUUUUGUAUUUGUUUUUAGCAAAUUUAUGUCCGCGGCAUACAGUGUUUUGUAAUGCUGGUAAUAAAGACUUUUAAUAAAAUUAGUACCACAACUUAGGAAGGCUACCUCCUAUUGAUCGACGGUGUCCGGGUAUUUUAAUGUAUACAGGUUGUCUAGAGCAAAAAAAGCUAUUUAUCGAUAUACAUAUACAUGUACGUUCUAUACCAAAAUCUCAUAGUUUAGAAAAUACUUGGAAUUUUAUUGGAUUGAUAUAAUUUCAACUCUACAAUAUUGACGCUCCUUGAACAAAUUUUGCUAAUUUAGUAUUUCACCGUCGUAGGCUGUGAAAUAACAUUAGUUAAUAUCCGCGCUUCUCGUAUCCAUAGCUACAGAAUAAUGUUUAAACCACUUCUGUGACAUAAAUUUAUUAUAUUUGAAAAAAAAACAGCAACACAACGCUAACUAAAGUCUAAAGUAAGUUUUCAAUACGCCCUCCAUUUUAAAUAAUACAUGUAGCAUAAACAACUUCUAAAUGUUUUAUAGCAUUGAAUACAAAAUCUGUUUGAUUUAAGUAGGCUACAGCCUCUCUAAUACUUCUUUGCACUUAAUUUACCGUGGUAAGCCUUUGCUUGUAUACAGUAUUCUUUAAUGUUCCCCACAGGAAUUUUGCCCAUUUUGCCCUAUUCAACGGUUGUACUGAUGGUUUAAAAAGUUACUUUAAUUGUAGCUCCUAUGAUGAAGAUCAUCAUUAUCUAUUAGCGGUUGUAUUUCAAUCCUUGCCAUAUCUAAAUAUCUUCUUGAAUUCAAAUUUUCAUCAAAGAAAAUUGAUUCCAUAAUUUUUAAGCGAUGAAUUUCCCACCCCACUUUAACGAAUCGUCUUUCCAGCUUUUUUACUUUUAAAAUCUUUUUGUUAUGUUUUUCACUCCAAUAAUGCAUAUUUUUCCUAUUUAGAAUUAGUGUUGAUGUGAAAAAUUUACGCAUCAGUCUAAAUAAUUUUAUUAAACACAUUUUCAUUGAAAUUCAUGUUCAUUAAGCUAUCACAAAGGUAUGAUCUUCCAUCAUAGUCUCUUUCUUCUAAAUGGUGAGCAGGUAAAAAUUUAAAUGAGUUACGGUUAUUAAUUUUUAAACAAUUUUGAAUCGCGCUUCUUGUGAUAUUUAACUCCAAAGGCGGUUUGCCUGGUGGAGGUUUCGGGUUUAUCCUUGAAAUAUAGAAGAAUUUCUAGCUGCUUUUCUUCUGUUAGAACUCUUCGGGGUCUAUUUUUAGGUCUUGGAAGUAAACUACCAUUAUGUUUGAAUUUUGCAUAGAUUUUGCCAAAUACCUUUUUUUUUCCGAAAUUUGCCGUAACGGAAAUUUUCUUUUAUACUCUGUAAACGCCAAAGCCGGACUUUUGCCUGACUUCUGUUAAAGUCGGUGCAGAACUUUUUGAACACCCUGUAUUAAUAAAACUCUGUUAAAAGGCCACCCUGUACAUUCAGGUUGGGGAAUUACACGUUGAAGGGAGUAACACGGUGCACUGUUGAAUUUUAAAGUGUUAUUAUUUUUUCUUAACUUAUGAUGGCUGUCUUUACAUUUUUCGAAAGAAUAAAUAUUAAUAAAUAAUUAAUGGUUUUUCGGAAGCAAUUCAAUCAUCAAUUCAGAUGCAGUAUAAUGUAGGGAUUUGUUUUCAAUUACAUUUGAACAAAAUAGAUUCGUUGCGAAAUAAACCAUUUUAAAAAUGUUUUUUGAAUUUGAAGACAUCUGUUUGUCUUCAAGUCAUAAAUGUCAUAAAUGCCACACUAAAGUGAAAGAACCUUUUAUCAAAAAGGUUCCGGGGUAAGAAUCCCGAUGUAUUAAAAAAAUGGAUCUGCCGAUUCGGUGCACCGAAGAGUCUCUAGGUCAAAUAGGUGAGAUGAGAACUUCGUCUCCCAUAACAUCUGAAGUAUGGUUGCCGGCCGGGAACCGAUGUUGCCGGGGCGGACUACUUCAGUGAGGUGUGUAGUAGAAUGGAUGUCGUUAAAAUUCACAUAUUCAUUCAUGAUGCCAUCGAUCGGAUAAGAAGGCGGAUUCUCAAUCAUCUUCUCGAGACGUGACGUCUCGAGUUGCUACGAAAUGCGAUUCCCGAUCCAUUUUGUUCUCGCUAGCGAGUCGGGAUCUAUCGAGUUCAUCUGUCAUUUUCGCUCGGGACCUAAGAAGCUGCCGAGAAUGGUAAACGAAGCGAUCUAUUGGUCGAAAAAUCUCCUAUUCCUUUUUUUCGUUGUGUGUGUCUAUCUCUAUCGGAUCGGACAUCGACAACGACAAUCCGUUGCAUAGAGAAAUGAAUAUUAAAUAUACUUUUAAUUACUCUAUGAUCCGUUGUUGGUUCAUGUUCUUGAGCUUGAGUUUGAAUUUUUGAUAUUUUGAUUUUUUGUUUGGGAGUACAAGUACAGAUUAUUUCCAAAUAUUUUUUAAAGUUUUAAAUCGAUCCUUUCCGCACCUUAGGCAGCGUGCAGUUGGAGAAUCCGGUAAGUUUGUUUAUUUAUGCAUAUUAUUAUAGAUUUAUUUUUUUUUUAAUUACCGUAUUUUAAUUUUACUUUAAAUUUACUAAUUUAAAGUAAAAUUUAUUUACUUUAAAUUAGGAACCUGCCAUAUAAUAAUAUUUAUUAAACAGGUACCUAGGAAGAAUGCAAAUACAGCAUGUGGAAGUUUUGGCAGAGUUUAUGGAAGACAACCCUGAAUCUGCAAGGGGUAGACUUUCUGCCUCGAAUGCUAGGGAGAAGUUCAAGGCACUGUGGGGAAAUUUAACCACCAGGUUAAAUCCCUUAGGACUUGGUGUUAGAGAUGUGAAAAAGUGGCAAAAAACAUGGUCUGAUUACAAAAGUAAUUUAAAAAAAAAAGCUGCCAAAAUAAAAAGGUAUCAAGAAGGCACAAGUGGUGGUCCAGCAACCCGUAAGACUUUGUCAGAUUUAGAACAGAGAAUCCUUAACAUUCUGGGCACUAUGUUUUAUGCAGGGAUUGGUGUGGAGGAAAGAAGUAUAAAUGUUAGCAUAACCUUCAACCUCAACAGCUUGUACCACAACCUCAAACCAAUCUAUUACUGAAAUAGAGAAUAAUAAUAAUUAUGAUGCUCAACAGCAGCCUUCGACUUCUGCUGCUAAAAGGGGUAAGGAAAGUGAAGGUCCAUGUGAGCAAGCAUGCCCUAGGCAAGACCAAGACCAUGAUUACUUAUUCUUUGGGAAUCAUAGUGAACCUCCCCCCAAAAAAAAGAAAAAAAGUAAGAAACCAAUGGAAGCAUAUGAAGAAACCAUAGAAUGCUUAAAAAGCAUUGAAAACACUUUAAAAUGUGGUCUUUCAGAAAUAAAUUUGACUUUGAAGGAACGCUUUCAAUCUUUAGGUAAAAGGAACAAUGAAUUACCAUAAAAAAUAAACACAACCAUUAUUUGGUAAUAUAUUAGGUAUAAAAAAUUUGUUAAUUUAGUAUAAGUUUUGUGGCCAAGAGUGCAAUUUUUUUCUUUUUAACACCAUGGGUUAUAUUUUUUUGUGAUUUUUGUUCUAUUCCUAUUUUUUAUUUAUUUUUUAAGUUUAGUUAUUAA
Anthonomus grandis grandis is the source of this 6178-nucleotide long non-coding RNA. RefSeq lists it as uncharacterized. The record is from RefSeq and is a predicted model, not a curated record. The transcript has 3 exons. Lineage: Eukaryota; Metazoa; Arthropoda; Insecta; Coleoptera; Curculionidae.